UUCUCUAUCAAAGAAGGUUUUCAGGAGACUA
This 31-nucleotide non-coding RNA is filed under the name Mus musculus (house mouse). The record is from RNAcentral. Lineage: Eukaryota; Metazoa; Chordata; Mammalia; Rodentia; Muridae.